RNAcentral lists this long non-coding RNA (272 nucleotides) under Mytilus galloprovincialis (Mediterranean mussel). The record is from RNAcentral. Lineage: Eukaryota; Metazoa; Mollusca; Bivalvia; Mytilida; Mytilidae.
UAUACAUCAAUGAGACAAUGAUAUAAAACCAAAUCAAGAAUAUCAAGGUACUAAAUAAAACAAAAAGAGUCUGCAGCCACUAAAACACCCAAUCUUUUUUUAAUUGUGGAAAUAAAUAUUCAUCAUUUCAAAAAAUUCAUUCAUAGAUAAGAAGAAAUAUUGGUAAAAGGGGUAGUUGAAUAAUGAUCGUAACCAUCGGACAAAGUAGUAUUUACAAUCAAGAAAAGCACAUACUUUUGUAAGCAAACUCAAACAACUAACAUUAAGACAAC